Long non-coding RNA from Gambusia affinis (western mosquitofish), 330 nucleotides. RefSeq lists it as uncharacterized. Lineage: Eukaryota; Metazoa; Chordata; Actinopteri; Cyprinodontiformes; Poeciliidae. The record is from RefSeq and is a predicted model, not a curated record. The transcript has 4 exons.
CCACUCUCUUCGAGUUCUGCAAAGGACAUUCAUUACUCAGCAUGUCUCUUUGAGGCUAGAGCAUUUUUAUCAACAUAAGUUGAUCAAUGUAGGGAGAAGAAGCACCUGUACUUUUGGCUCCCUGAAUAUCUGCUGAACUGAUGUGAAAUGCAAAGUCAACCCAACAGAACAACAUUUCUAGAGUGAAGGCAGACAGAUCGUCCAUAUUGUCUCCCAUCUCCCCAGUGACGGUCAGGGCCUGUUUCACCUUCAGGUUGAGAGGUUCGCUGCUGGACAGAAGCAGGAGGUCGGCCUGGAAGCACCAUCAGUUCAGCUAAAAGUGACUUCAGC